Long non-coding RNA from Cyprinus carpio carpio, 1994 nucleotides. Lineage: Eukaryota; Metazoa; Chordata; Actinopteri; Cypriniformes; Cyprinidae. The record is from Ensembl.
AUGAACAGGAACAGGAAGACUUCAUUUUUGAGAGUGGACGCCAUGUUGUCUCAUUCUGUUUAAGACUUUUACUAAAACAGAUCUUGCAGGUGCUCAACAGGAAAUCAUGUGUCUGAUUUUCAGUCGAGCUGAAAGCCAUGAAACUCAUUCUGCGGUGGAUUUUUUGCUUCAGUUUAGGUUUUGUCACUGAUUGCCAAGUGAAUCGUUAUGGAUUGAAAGGAAGCUCAAUCCGUCUGAGCAUCAGUCCCAGAAAUCAGUCACUAACUAAUGUUGGAUGGCAACGAUUCAACAGGAAAGAGGUGCUCACAGACUCAAAUGACGUUUCCCCUCAUUUUGAGAAAAGAAUGAGCCUAAACGUCUCAGACAUGUCUUUGACCAUACACGACCUGGAGGAAAAUGACAGUGGACUGUAUGAAGCCCUUAAGAAGUGGGAGGUUGAACCUCUGGCUGCAUUCACACUUACAGUGGAGAACACUGUCUCUAAGCCUGUAAUCAGAGUGGAUCAACAUGACUUUAAUUCGUCUGCUGAAGUGUGUCGGGCUGCAGUGAACUGUUCAGCUGAUGGCAGCUGGGCCACGUUUGACUGCCACCAAAAUGUCUGUACAAAGAUACAAUCCUCUCCAUUCUCCAUUAACAUCACUGUCACUGCACUGGACAGCAGCGGCAUCAAAUGCAACGUCAACAACAACGUGCUCAACAGGAAAUCUGGUGUCUUAUUUUCAGUCGAGCUGAAAGCCAUGAAACUCAUUCUGCGGUGGAUUUUUUGCUUCAGUUUAGGUUUUGUCACUGAUUGCCAAGUGAAUCGUUAUGGAUUGAAAGGAAGCUCAAUCCGUCUGAGCAUCAGUCCCAGAAAUCAGUCACUAACUAAUGUUGGAUGGCAACGAUUCAACAGGAAAGAGGUGCUUACAGACGCAAAAGAAGUUUCCCCUCAUUUUAAGAAAAGAAUGAUCCUAAACGUCUCAGACUGGUCUUUGACCAUACACAACCUUGAGGAAAAUGACAGUGGACUGUAUGAAGCCAUUAAGAAGUGGGAGGUUGAACCUCUGGCUGCAUUCACACUUACAGUGGAGAGCACUGUCUCUAAGCCUGUAAUCAGAGUGGAUCAACAUGACUUUAAUUCGUCUGCUGAAGUGUGUCGGGCCGCAGUGAACUGUUCAGCUGAUGGCAGCUGGGCCACGUUUGACUGCCACCAAAAUGUCUGUACAAAGAUACGAUCCUCUCCAUUCUCCAUUAACAUCACUGUCACUGCACUGGACAGCAGUGGCAUCAAAUGCAACGUCAACAACAACGUGAGCAUGAAUCAUUCUCAGACUCCCUUUACGUGCCAUGAAAAGCAGAAAAGUGAUUAUCGUUUUCUCCCAUCGCUCAUCUUCUGGAUCGUUGGCACCGUUUGUGGUGGUGUUUUGUUGGGUUUGGUUAUGGGUGGGAUUGUAGCAUUUGUCAAGAGAAGAAAAUGUUCAAAAGUUCAUCCACAGUCCAGUCGUGUUGUGAUUGAACAGCAUCAUGAAACAAUUUACUGCACCGUGGAAAAGCCGGCCACAUCCCAGACACAUCCAGGAAACAACACUGUCAGCAACAAAGUAGAAACCAUCUACGACACUCCAUCACGACAUACCAAGGCUUGUCAAGUAGACAGUGUGGAGGUGAUGAGAGACAAUCAGGAGCAACAGCAAUCUGGACAAGACAGAACUAUUCAAGUAAAAGCUACAGUUCACCAGGCAGCAGAACCCGAUUCAGAUCCAAUAAACACUGUUUACUGUAAACUGGGAGAGAUAUGACACAAACACAUACUGAGACGUCACUUCAGUGGAGAUUUAAAUGUAAUUUAAUAUAAAUUCUGUGUUUUUUUUUUUUACUAGUGAAUAGAUGGGUUUAAGCAUCAUUGAUGGAGACAAUACACACUGUAUGCUGCCUACUAUUUUUUGAAACAGUAUAUGCAAUACAUUCUUAAAAAUAAAUGUUCAAAAAUUGUUUUUUGUAGUGAUGCAAUAGAA